UAACAGUUGAAUCUCAGCUUGAAAAUAAAGCGAGAUGUCAAAAAUCUUUUUUCUUGAAACCCGGAAAAUUUUGAUAAUUAUUCUUUUGCCGUAAAAAGUCAAGAGCAUUCACUUAGGGUGAGUAAGAAAUAAGUUGGGGAGAACGAAAAAGAGAAUCGGUAAGUGCCACAACUCUUGAAAAACCAAGCAAGCACUGAAAAUAAAAAAAAAAAUUAGAAAAGAGAAACAUUUGUUUUGUAAAUAUGAUGUGAAAGAAAAGAAAAAAUAGAGAAAAUGAAAAUGAAUGCUUGCUGGGAAGAAAAAUAGUGAAAAACAAAAAUUGAGUUGUGAAAUAAGAGUUAUGAAGGUUUCAAAUGAGAAACAAAAGGGAACGAAGUUGAGAUGUGUGAAUAGUGUACAGUGAAUGUCUCUUUUGCAUCGGAAAUUUCGUUUUCAAUGGCCUUAGAAAUGACCCUUGUUUGUAAACCUAACCAAGCUACAACCGGAAAGUCCUUAGUGAUCUUCGUGCUUCCGCAUUUUCAUUUAUAAUUGUUAGACAUUGUAUGAAUUGAAUUGAUUUCUUCAUUGUUUGUUGGAGAGAGAGAGAUUGUCCCCGCGGUUGCAAACGCGUAAUUUCUUCAAUCCUUAUUCGAAGAGGAGAGAUAGGGUGAUUCAUUAAUUGAUUUCUUCAUUGUUUGUUGGAGAGAGAGAGAUUGUCCCCGCGGUUGCAAACGCGUAAUUUCUUCAAUCCUUAUUCGAAGAGGAGAGAUAGGGUGAUUCAUUCAAGAUAAUAUUGUUGUGGAUAAAUACAUAUUUUGCAUUUCUAUUAAGUUUUAGUUUUUGUGUAUUAUGUUAUUCUAACCAUUGGGAAUUUGUAUCUGGUUUAUUCGCUUGUGUUUGAGCCGUUUUAUCCGACUUCGGAGAAACCUUUUUCUUUAAGCAAAUCAUCUUGUCCUUCAAGAGGCAUACUUUGCUUGAGGACAAGCAAGAAUCUAGUUGGGAGAGUUGUUAGAUGCCAAAAAGUGCUUAUUUGAGCUAUCAAAUGUGGGCAUCUUUCACUCCUUUUUGUUGCUAAAGUGUUUGAAACUGCCUUUGUUUUAGAUGAAUUGCAAUACAAUGUUAAACGAUAUUGGUACCUUUAAUUUAUGCGUUAUUGUGCAGGAAUUAGGCAUGAAAUAAUAGAAAAUGAAGGCACAAGAAAGUUGGCAAAGGGACUAAGAAAAUAAUGCAUUCAUCAGCAUGCUCGCUAGGCGAGUGCUGUGGCGAAGUGUUCGCUAGGCGAGCACCCAGCGAGCUGCUAGCGAGCAUUCCCAGAAUUUUAGAGUAGCAAAGUCAGCAAACUCGCUAGGCGAGCAUCCAGCGAAGGUGGUAGCGAACACGCCCAGACUUGGUCAAAAGCACAGUCAGCACUAAAUCGCUAGGCGAGCACCUAGCGAGCUCCCAACGAGCAAUUCCAGUAGCAAAACCAUCUAAGCUCGCUGGAGCGAAGGUGGAAGCGUGGGCUUCGCCUAGCGAACACAUGAAAUAUGGCGAAGGAUAUUUCUCUGGGCGCAGGUGCCUCUGGUGCCUACUUUGGGGCUCGCUAGGCGAACCAUUCUGCUCGCCUAGCGAGCAUGACAGCUCAGACAGCAGUACUAUAAGUAGCAGGGGCUACUUUUUGGAAGCCAUACUUUGUACUUUUUAAACUUAGCAUUUCUUAGAUAUUUUCCAGCAUUGCUCUAGAGAUAUUUUGAAACCUAGAAACACAUUUUCUUCAUUUUUCUUCAUCUCUUAACAAUAUUCCACAAAAAGAAGGUGGAUUCCCAUCCAAUCUCGAUUCUUCGACUUGGAUGUUGAUCAACCUUCAACCGAGACUUGUUGUACAAGCCCAUGAAAAUGAGUGGCUAAGUUCUUCAUUUGUCAAGGUUAGAUGAGUGAUCAUAAGCUUUGUGUAUAUGAGAUGAUCUUCAUUUGUAAACAUCUUUAAUGAUGAAUAUAUGGUGGAAAGUUUGUUUUAUCGAUAACUCUUUGUGUUGGUUUAUGAUCGAGAGAUGUUUACCAACUCUUUACCUAGGUUUUCAUCCAAUCUUUUUGUUAGCUUAGAGAUAGUAAUGAAUGAUUUUGUUCACAUAAGGUUGAACCAAAAGUUGUCAUUUUUGAUAGAUUGUGUUAGAAUAAACAAUGGAUCAAAAUGGGAAACUCACAAUGUGUGUUAGAGAUAAACACAUUGGAGGACUUUGUAAUAGUUUAUCAUCUAAAGAGUUAUGAGUCUUGUUGAUCGAACGUAUAAUGCAAAUGAUCGUCGACUUAACUUGACAAUCUUUCUAAAUAGAAAACCAAAACUUUUACCGCAUUUUCUUACACUUUUAUGCAAGCUACCGUGACUAAAACCAAAACCCCCUUGUUACUACGAGUUAAGAAUUAAAACAACUGUCGAACGGCGGCGAUAUCUCACAAUCCCUUUGCUCACUUGAGCUCAUGUUUAUGUUAAUGCAAUUUGCCUUUUGCUCACUUGAGCACAUAAUUGUGUAUAUACUAUUGUGCUUGUUUUGUUUUGAUUGUGUGAACAAAAUGAAAAUGGACAAAAGGACUUAGACUUUAGGAUAUUCCCUAUGCAAAAUGGAGUCAAAGAGCAACUAGGCCUCAUGCCUUUAGAAUGCUAUAAAAGAAUAAAAAUGUCAAAGAGCAACUAGGCCUCAUGCCUUUACAAUGCUUAAUCUGGAAGAGGACUUUGAAAGGACCAAAUUCUAAACUCACUCUUGUCCAUUCUUUCUAUUGCAUUGUGGAACUUUUUGAUUUGUGUGUUCUUGUGCAAGGGAUCCCAAACAUUGAGCCAAGUAGAAGAACCAUUGUCAUGAGCAUAUAAAGUGAGAGAUACAAAAGCCAUUGGAAGAUUCCUAGGAGCUUGCUUGCUUGAUUGUUUGCUUGAGUUAUUUGCUUAUUGCUUGCUAUUCCAAAGGAAAGGGAACAACUUGGAUCAUCGCUAUGAUCUCAAGAAGGGAACUCCAUUGUGGUUUAUUUUCUCCUCUUUCAUCUUUGCAUGUUUAGGACCUUAGCCAUUAUUCUUCUUCUCUCCACUCUAACCCAAGCCAAACUUUUGUGCAAAUAUUAACAUUGUUUUCAACAUUAGAAUCCUAAGCAUUAUGCUUUUGAUUUUCCAAACUUCUUUUCAUAACACUUAUUUUGAAUUGAAUUCUAGGUCAACAUUGACCUUACAUUGUAAAUACUUUUCAUUGGUAAAUACAAUUCACUUAAAUGUUUUUGUGGUUUCAGUGGCCACUCCUUGCCAAAGCUUUUCAUAAACAUUAGCUAUUAGGUUUGAGUUAUCCUUGAGGUUGAUAUAAUACUCACCUAUAUCCUUAGUGAUGGACCAUAAGACUUCCAUGCUUAUUAUAGGGUUAAGGUUGAUAUAAUACUCACCUAUAUCCUUAGUGAUGGACCAUAAGACUUCCAUGCUUAUUAUAGGGUUAACCCCUCACUAGCAUGUUGAAGCUCUCCUCACAUGGUGGAUUUGUGGUUUUAGGUUGACUUUUCUCCCUUUGAUAACAAAAGACCUUAAGGUUUUUCACCAAUUAAUUCACCAACUUCUUUUGAGAUUUUUACCCCGAACUAUGAGGUUUUGAUCCUAAUCUUUUUAAAGAUGGUACGUAGGCAAUGGGUUUAUCCAUUCAAACACAAAAUUGUAAAUAAUUUGUACAUUCUUCUCUCAUCUCCCCAAUCAUGUUUGCACAAAUAAUUUUCACAAAUACCAACCUACCUUACCACAAUUGUGAAAAGGGCUCCCUAGGAGUACCUAGGAUGUUUUGGGUGCUUAAAACCUUCCCAUUGCAUAACCAACCCCCUUACCCAGAUCUCUGACAUUUUUAUUAGUUUUUGAUUUGGUAAAACUUCUCGAUUUUUGUUCGCUUUCUAACCUUUCCUUUGGAUAAAUAGAAGUGCGGUGGCAACUCGAAUUGUAUGAUUUACUUUUGAUUUAGUUAAUAAAUCUAAAGGUAAUGAAUACCCCGCUACACCUUCAAAUCACCAAAUUAAUGGCCAAGGGAUUUAUCCUAGGUCAAACAAGGUCAAAUGACCUUAGACAAAAAAUUUAGAAUUUUUGGAAAGUCAUAAGUAUUUUAAAAUAUUUAAAAACAUGUCCAAAAUCAUUUAAUUCACAAAAAAUAUCAAAACUAAUCCUAAAAAUGAUUUUAAUUCAAAAUAUAGAAGAGGAAAAUAUUUAAAGAUUUUUGGUGAAAGUCCCAUACUUUUUGGAUUAAAAGUGAAUUUAUAAUGAAUUAAACAAAAUAAAAGGAUUAAACAUAAAAUCAGAAAUAAAAAUAAAACUAAGAAAAAACAAGGACCAUCAGAUCUGCCUCAUUAAUUGAGGUGGCAGAUCAGAUGGCCACGCGUGUGGAGUCCAUGGUGGACUCUGGUCAACACGCUGUAAAGUGAGUCAUUCAAACCAAGGGCCAAGAUUAUAACAUUUAAACGUGAUCAAAGGGAUGAGAUGAUGCCAACACACCACUGGAGUGAGGGCUCUAGUCAUCUUCUCCGGUGGACCUCACCGAACUGGUCCACCAUCAACCUUCACCAAAAUGAAAAGUGUAUAUGCUAUUUUGAAGAGAAAAUUGUCAGGAAUCCAAAUCUUCCCUCAAAACUCUCCAAUUCUUACUAUAUUGAAAGAUACGUAGAAUUGAAAAUUGAGGAGUAUGAACUGAGUUACUUUGAUUUGACCUCAAAGUAACUCAAUCUUGUUGCCUACAUUGGUAGAUCUCUAAACAACCAAAGAACAAGCAAAAUAGUGGAGAAUUGAGGGAGAAUCGAAGAAGAGAAAAAUCAGAAAAUUCACCUUUGGUUUGCUUUAAUUGAGCUUGAUCUUGCUUCCAAUUUGCUUUGGUUCGUCUCUAACAACUUGCAGGAAGUGAAAUGGAUUAUUAAAAGGCUUGGAUUCUUGGAGUUUCAAUUCCAAAACAGAAUGAGAAUUGAAACUCAAUUUCAAGAGAAAUCCUCAAGUUUAUCUUUUAAUGGAGGUUGAGGAAGAAGCACUGCAAAGCUUGGGCAAGAGGAAUCUCAUUAUGAGCUUAAGGAUCAUGUAUAUAUAGCCUACACAUUGCUUUCCACACCUUUUGAAAAUUUUCCAAAAAUAGCAAUACAAUGGUGCAUGCUUGCAUGGGCGUGUGCUAGGCCCAACGAAUGAUUGAAAUGAGUCCAAAAUCGUGCAUAAGUGAUGCUGAAACCUUAACAUGAGGCUAUGCAAUGUGGAAUGAAAAUUGGUCAUGAAAAUCUUCCAAAUGGGGCCAUGCAAUGCACCCAUAUGCAAGUCACUCAAAAAUGCUCCAAAUGCCAUGAUCUUGGACUCUUUGGAAAGGUAACAUGAAGGGUAGAAACUUUGCUGUUGAAACUCUUUCCAUUUGGAGCUUGGAUCAUGAAAAAGUUUAAGGUGGAAGUUGGAGAAAUCAAACAUAGUUGAAAAAUUUCUAAGUUAAAAGUCAAAUGAUCACUUUUUCCACCUUGAAUAACUUUUGCGAUAAGCUUCAAAUGAAAAUGGUUACUUAUUAAAAGUUUUAGAUAUUUCAUUCCUUUUUAAUUUGAGCACAAAUUUGACACCAUUUGAAUCUUGCAUGAGGGAGUUAUGGAUUUUAGAAGUUGAGGAAAAAUGCUUGUUCAAUGAUGAUGGCCCAAAAUGACCUAUAAUGUUUCAUUUUGGUACAUGCCCUUGCAAAUAGAUUUUGAAAUUUACCGAAGAAUAAAAGUUGGAGAAUACAUCUUGAAAUUAAUCAUGAAACUUGGAUGGUAUUCAUAUCAGAAAAAUUUAGCAAGUUAUGGUUCUCGGAAGUUGACCUUCUAUCUAGGGCACAAACAAAAUGACCUAUAAUAUUUCACCAUAAAAAUGACUUUCCAAGCAAACUUAGCUCUUGAUGCCAACAUGAAAUUUGUUUGGAAUGUCAUAAAGAGUAACGUUUCUCUUGGAAUAAUUUUCAUAUGACAAAACUUGAAGGAUACAGGGUCUAGGGAAGCCUAGAUUUGACCAGUUGACUUUCUCUAGUCAACCUCUUUGAACCAUCUUGCAAACUUGAAGUUCUUUUUAUCUUUGGGUCUCAUGGAGAAUCAUAUAUGCUUGAGAUGAUGUACAAUGAAGUAUACUUUGAAAUCUUUGACCAAUUGAUGAAGAAACUGGCUGAGGAAGUCAUACAAGAUACCUAGAUGAAUUAGGGCUUCCAAGGAAAACAAACUUCAAACCUUUGAUGAAUUCUUGAUCAAAUUGACAAAUAAAGUACAUGGGGAUCCAUAUAUGAUGCUUAGAACCAUGGUGAACCUUUCCUUGAUUGAUCUCUUUCAUUGAGGGAGUCAAGCCCUAGAUAUGAGCUUGAUAGGGCACAAAUGGAUGCACACACUACCUACAAAAGAAAUGAAACUAUACUAGACAUAUUUUUGGUAUUUUGGUUAGUAAACAAAAGAAAAUAAAGUAUGAUACAUUAAAAUGUGUUUGGUGAUAUCUCCCAAUGCAAACCCAAUGAAUGAGGGGUAAGGAGGAUACCAAGGUGUGAUCCCAAAGCCAAUGCAAAUGAUGAGAUAGUAUGAGGGAUCUUAAGGUUAAAAUUUGGGUCUUACAGUUACCACUGUCAUCAACAGGACGAAUGUAGCCAUAAACUACCAUAUAUCAUAUAUCCACAUCAUGACCAAGAAAAAUACUUUCUAUUUUAUCAUUCCAAUAGUCAAAAUUUUAUCCAUUAAAGACUGAAGUUUUGGCACGAUAAUGGUCUCUUUCAUUGUUACUAGCGGGUGCAGUUGGUGGAGGAAUUUCUGCCAGAAUGUUUCAAAAGUCUGGAUCUUUAUCUAACACAAUGAAGUGUUGGAUACACAAUCAAUACCAGAACCAGAGCUCUGAUUCUAAUUUAACGUAAUGGAAACACAAGAAAGGGGGUUUGAAUUGGGUUUCAAGAAAUAUAACUUUUGCAACCCAAAGAUGCAAAUAGAAAACUAAGAACAAAAAUAAUGAACUCGAUUAUUUUUAUCAUGGUUUGCUAUUAACAAGGUGAUUUCGCCUUAUCACAAGGACUUAAUCCACUAUAAUCAAACUUGAUUACAACAAAAAGACCAACUGUCAAUGUCUUUCUGAGUAAUUCUGACUAAAUCCUAGUCACUCAAGAAAAUACAAUCACAAAGAUUGAGAUGCAAAAUGUGUUUACAAAAUGCUUCUGAGAAAGAAAAAUACACAAAUGAAUUACAAGUAUAGCACAUAAAAUAUAUAUUCUAUGAUGAGUAUGAACAAAAAUUCAUUGUGUGUAUGUUUCUUUUCUUUUCUCUCAAAAUAUUUCAUAAAACUCAUUAUUCAUGUAUAUGUUAAUCUCUUAGAGUGUAGCACAAUUCAAUUCUUCCAAGUCUUCUUUAUAUAGGCAAGGAAGAGAUCCAUUGGAGGGUAAAAUUGGAAUACUUAAAUGCAAUUGUAUCUUUGCAUAACGGUCUGUGAAAAUGAGAGACAAAAUGAUACAAUAGUCAGUCCUUAGUCCACAAAAUCAUUGUAGUGGAUGAAUAUUUGAUCUUGUACUGUGUACUAUUUUCUCACGUAAAACCUUUUUGAUCUUAUCUUCAAUUUUCAGAGGCUUCUGAUAAAGAGGUAAUGAAGCAUGUAUAGAAGGAAGAAUAAGAGUCUGGUUGAGAGAAUCUUCAGAAACUUUGUCUUCAGAGUCUUGAUCCAGUUCAUCAGAACAUGGUCUUUAGAGUCUGGUGACACAAUUCAUCCGAAUUUUUUAAGCGCACGACUCCAGAGCUUGACAACGUCAAAAUCGGACUUAUGAAAUGAAAGUUAUGACCAAAAUCGUCGGGAUGUGUCAACAAUUCAUUAACCGAACGUAAGAACAAAAACUUCACCAACACAGUAGGCAUAGGAAUAAUAUUCAAUCAAUUCACUUAUCACCAUCACAUUAUAUCUCUUAGAGUCACCUUUCUAAUGCUUUAAACCCCAACCCAAAAUGAUUCACGAGUUGAAAGUUAUAAUCAAAACCGUGCACGAAGGCGUUACUAAAAAGUUGUUAUUUUCUAAAUUUUCCGACAUAAUUUUCAUCUUUUUCAACCCCAAAAACGUCCAUGAAAUAAUCUCCAAAAUUAUUUUAUUCCUGAAACAAAGUUAUAGCCCUCUGUUUCAGAUAUCCAACGCUUCAAACGACACUCGAUUUAGACUUACGGAUCAAAAGUUAUGGCCAAAACGAUUUCGAUCAAAAAACACAAUAAAAUGCUCGUGAUUGUGAGAGACAGAAUGCAUAAUUUUCUGCGUUUUUCAUCGUUGGAGGCCUUCCGGGUCUCCGAUUUCGAUUCCGUAAAAAGCUAAACAUUCAGUAAAUUACAACCCAUGCAAUACUAUAAUUAUCUAAUAAUUUACAGUUUUAACACAAUUAAAUCAUCUAAUCACUGUUUCAAGAUUAUGCCUGAAACCUUCAAAAUUGCAACAAUGGUGAAUAUAAGUUCAAUCAUCAAAAUAGAAAAUUACACACAUAUAAGACACAUGACAUUUAUCAUAUAAUCAUCAUGGCAUCCAAAUUCAAAAUUAUGAAUCAAAACACUCAACCUUAAGGAGGUUAAGGGUUCCUCCAUUCUAUCAUUCUAUCAUACCCUUUACUAUUGGAACAAGUUCUCACCCUUACCUUAGAUUUUCCAACAAGAUGCACACUUCAAGCUCUAACAAUGGAGUUUUCUUUUAGCCAUAUCUCUUCCCUCUUCUCACCACAAAAUUCUAUUUUACGUAAAACCCUCCAAACUCUCUUACUAACCUUUUUAUCAUUAACCUAAUCCCCCUCAAUUAGGAACUUCCACCAUUGCCCUCACUUAUCAUAUUAUUUACCACCAUAUCCCUUUUGACUCUAAUUUUCUUUUAAUAAAAUAAUACUAAUAAUAUUCUUCUUUUUCUCGAUCGUAUUUCUACUCUUUUAUUUUAUUCCAAUCAAUUAAAUAAAAUAGUUAUAGGUUAAUUAUUAAAAAUUCUCAUUAUCCCCAUUAAAUAAGUAAAAUAAUUAAAUUUCAUUAUUUAAUUAAGAUGCUCAUAUUCUAGUUAUUUAAUUAAAUAAAAUAGUUAUAGGUUAAUUAUUAAAAAUUCUCAUUAUCCCCAUUAAAUAAGUAAAAUAAUUAAAUUUCAUUAUUUAAUUAAGAUGCUCAUAUUCUAGUUAUUUUUAUUUAUUUAUUUAAUUAAUUCAAAUAAUACACUAUUUAUUUCAAUCACUAAUUAAAAUUCUAAUUAAUUAUCAACAACUAUACCAAAUUCUUAUUGCCUCCAUACUUCUAUUUCAAGGAUACCUACCCCCACAAUCAUACACAAUUAAUUUAAAACACACAUUAAUCAUAUAAAAAUCUAAAUAAUUCAAAUUAAUUAAUUAAUUAAAUUCGGGGUGUUACAGGUGACACAAUUCAUCAGAAUUUUUUAAGCGCACGACUUCAGAGCUGAACAAUGUCAAAAUCUUCUGAGUCAUAAAGCUUUGGAUAAACUAUGUUCAGAAGCGUUGAGUACAGAAUCCAAAGCUUGUUUAUCUUGUAGAACACACAUCUUAGAGUCAAAGUGCACUAGGUUCAGAAUCUGAUGUUGUCACACAUCAUUCUAUCAAAGUCAAAACUCAUCUAGUAUUUGCACACUAAACAAAACCAUUAAGAUACAAAAUUGUUCUCUAAAAAUCUAUGUAUUGUUAUUACCAAAACAUAAAGUUAGAUGCAGAACCAAAUCUUAUUCUUAUAAAAUUACCAUAAUUUUAUUUUAUUGAAAUUUAUAAUAUAUCCUUCUCUUGACAAUGUGUGGUCCAAAUUUUUUUUUCCAAUAAUUGAAAAAUACUAUUAGUUUUUUAGAUUAUUUUUUUUUUCUUUUUUCUAGACUAAAGAGGAUAUUCAUUACUAAACUAAUAUAUAAGUGUUCACAGGGACCAAGUUACUCAUUCAUCUUCUUUCUCAUAGUCCAUCAUUUGUGAUAUUAGUUCUAACAAUGUUAUCACUAGUACUUCUCCUUGCUAUAGGUGCUUAAUUCUCUCUCCUAAUCUCUCCGCUAAAACACAAAACCACUAAACAUUUUCCACCUGGUCCUAAAGGCCUUCCCAUAAUAGGAAAUCUUCACCAACUAGACCUCCUUAAUAUUAGUGUUCAACUUGCAGACUUUUCAAAAAUAUAUGGUCCUAUAUUUUCACUUAAACUUGGUUCAAGACAAGCUAUUGUAGUUUCUUCAUCUGAAAUUGCCAAAGAAAUUUUUAAAAAAAAUGACCAUACGUUUUCUGACAGACCUCAAUUAUAUAGCCAACAAAAAUUAUCUUAUAACGGAUCAGAAGUUUUAUUUUCACAAUACAAUGAAUCUUGGAGAGAUAUAAGAAAAAUUUGUGUUAUUCAUAUUUUUAGUUCCAUACGUGUAGCAUAUUAUUCUUCCAUAAGAAACUUUGAGGUGAGGAAACUGAUUAAAAAAAUAUCAGAAAAUGCUAAUUCUUCAAGUGUUACAAAUAUGAGUGAGGUAUUGAUAUCUCUUGCAAGUUCUCUAAUAUGUAACAUUGCUUUUGGAAAAACCUUUGAAAAUGAAGGACCUGAGAGUAGUAGUAGGUUUCCUGAAAUGUUGCAUGAGUUUCAAGCUUUGCUAGCAGAAACUUUUGUUGCUGAUUAUAUUCCAUUUACGGGUUGGAUUGAUAAAGCGAGAGGAUUGCAUGGUCGUCUUGAUAAAAUUUACAAGGAGUUUGAUAAGUUUUAUCAAGAGAUUAUUGAUGAACAUUUGGAUCCAAA
This 10674-nucleotide long non-coding RNA is filed under the name Lathyrus oleraceus (garden pea). RNAcentral's name for it is "Pisum sativum (pea) long non-coding RNA (PSAT_LNC032210)". The record is from RNAcentral. Lineage: Eukaryota; Viridiplantae; Streptophyta; Magnoliopsida; Fabales; Fabaceae.